Molecule: unclassified non-coding RNA, 331 nt
Filed under: soil metagenome
Description: partial contains 5.8S ribosomal RNA, internal transcribed spacer 2, and large subunit ribosomal RNA
Rfam family: 5.8S ribosomal RNA (bases 1-120)
Source: RNAcentral
GAUGAAGAACGCAGCGAAAUGCGAUAAGUAGUGUGAAUUGCAGAAUUCAGUGAAUCAUCGAAUCUUUGAACGCACAUUGCGCCCUUUGGUAUUCCUUAGGGCAUGCCUGUUCGAGCGUCAUUUAAACCUUCAAGCUCAGCUUGGUGUUGGGUGACUGUCCGCUUCACCGCGGACUCGCCUCAAAAUUAUUGGCGGCCGGUACAUUGGCCUCGAGCGCAGCAGAAACGCGAACUCGGGCCCGUCGUAUUGGCUCCCAGAAGCUAUCUUCACAAUUUUGACCUCGGAUCAGGUAGGGAUACCCGCUGAACUUAAGCAUAUCAUAAGCGGAGGA